RNAcentral lists this ribosomal RNA (483 nucleotides) under uncultured Campylobacterota bacterium. Its description in RNAcentral is "bacterial SSU rRNA". It matches the Rfam family "Bacterial small subunit ribosomal RNA", at positions 74 to 578 of the family's 1533-position model. Lineage: Bacteria; Pseudomonadati; Campylobacterota. The record is from RNAcentral.
CCUAGCUUGCUAGGUGGAUUAGUGGCGCACGGGUGAGUAAUAUAUAGAUAACGUGCCUCUUAGUCUGGGAUAGCCAUUGGAAACGAUGAUUGAUACUAGAUACUCCUUCUAACUCUAAUGUUAGUUGGGAAAGUUUUUCGCUAAGAGAUCGGUCUAUAUCCCAUCAGCUAGUUGGUAGUGUAAGAGACUACCAAGGCAAUGACGGGUAGCGGGUUUGAGAGGAUGAUCCGCCACACUGGUACUGAGACACGGACCAGACUCCUACGGGAGGCAGCAGUGAGGAAUAUUGCACAAUGGAGGAAACUCUGAUGCAGCAACGCCGCGUGGAGGAUGACGCAUUUCGGUGUGUAAACUCCUUUUAUAUGUCAAGAAAAUGACGGUAGCAUAUGAAUAAGCACCGGCUAACUCCGUGCCAGCAGCCGCGGUAAUACGGAGGGUGCAAGCGUUAUUCGGAAUCACUGGGCGUAAAGGACGCGUAGGCGG